Molecule: ribosomal RNA, 593 nt
Filed under: Aspergillus fumigatus
Lineage: Eukaryota; Fungi; Ascomycota; Eurotiomycetes; Eurotiales; Aspergillaceae
Description: eukaryotic LSU rRNA
Rfam family: 5.8S ribosomal RNA (bases 242-395)
Source: RNAcentral
UGAAGUAAAACAUUCGUAACAAGGUUUCCGUAGGUGAACCUGCGGAAGGAUCAUUACCGAGUGAGGGCCCUCUGGGUCCAACCUCCCACCCGUGUCUAUCGUACCUUGUUGCUUCGGCGGGCCCGCCGUUUCGACGGCCGCCGGGGAGGCCUUGCGCCCCCGGGCCCGCGCCCGCCGAAGACCCCAACAUGAACGCUGUUCUGAAAGUAUGCAGUCUGAGUUGAUUAUCGUAAUCAGUUAAAACUUUCAACAACGGAUCUCUUGGUUCCGGCAUCGAUGAAGAACGCAGCGAAAUGCGAUAAGUAAUGUGAAUUGCAGAAUUCAGUGAAUCAUCGAGUCUUUGAACGCACAUUGCGCCCCCUGGUAUUCCGGGGGGCAUGCCUGUCCGAGCGUCAUUGCUGCCCUCAAGCACGGCUUGUGUGUUGGGCCCCCGUCCCCCUCUCCCGGGGGACGGGCCCGAAAGGCAGCGGCGGCACCGCGUCCGGUCCUCGAGCGUAUGGGGCUUUGUCACCUGCUCUGUAGGCCCGGCCGGCGCCAGCCGACACCCAACUUUAUUUUUCUAAGGUUGACCUCGGAUCAGGUAGGAUGCCGAU